RNAcentral lists this small nucleolar RNA (73 nucleotides) under Fukomys damarensis (Damara mole-rat). RNAcentral's name for it is "Small nucleolar RNA SNORD26 (ENSFDAG00000019922.1)". It matches the Rfam family "Small nucleolar RNA SNORD26". From Rfam's summary of the family: U26 is a member of the C/D class of snoRNA which contain the C (UGAUGA) and D (CUGA) box motifs. U26 is encoded within the U22 snoRNA host gene (UHG) in mammals and is thought to act as a 2'-O-ribose methylation guide for ribosomal RNA. Lineage: Eukaryota; Metazoa; Chordata; Mammalia; Rodentia; Bathyergidae. The record is from Rfam by way of RNAcentral.
CUGCAAGGAUGAUUUAAGAACUGAACUCUCUCUUUCUGAUGGCUCCAUGGAGAAAGCAGAAAUUCUGAGUAGC